This 548-nucleotide ribosomal RNA is filed under the name Aureobasidium proteae. Its description in RNAcentral is "partial 26S ribosomal RNA". Lineage: Eukaryota; Fungi; Ascomycota; Dothideomycetes; Dothideales; Saccotheciaceae. The record is from RNAcentral.
UUACGCCAGCAUCCUAGCCGAAGCGCGGACCUCAGUCCCGGCUGGCCGUAUUACACCCUGGGCUAUAACACCUCCACCGAAGUGGAGGCCACAUUCCCAGAGCCUUUAUCCGGCCGCCGAAACUGAUGCUGGCCUGUCCAAACUGAGUAAACCGGUCAGAAGACCGGCCGAACAGUUUAAACAAGUCUGAUUGCAAGCGCUUCCCUUUCAACAAUUUCACGUGCUUUUUAACUCUCUUUCCAAAGUGCUUUUCAUCUUUCGAUCACUCUACUUGUGCGCUAUCGGUCUCUCGCCAAUAUUUAGCUUUAGAAGAAAUUUACCUCCCAUUUAGAGCUGCAUUCCCAAACAACUCGACUCGUCGAAGGAGAUUUACAUAGGGUGCCAUUUCCUGUCACAUACGGGAUUCUCACCCUCUAUGACGUCCUGUUCCAAGGAACUUAGACAGGCGGCUUCCCCAAAUCAUCCUCUACAAAUUACAAUGCGAACCCGAAGGCUAGCUUUCAAAUUUGAGCUGUUGCCGCUUCACUCGCCGUUACUAGGGCAAUCCC